UACGUAGGGUGCAAGCGUUGUCCGGAAUUAUUGGGCGUAAAGAGCUCGUAGGCGGUUUGUCGCGUCCGCUGUGAAAAAUCCAGGGCUUUAACCCUGGACCUGCAGUGGGUACGGGCAGACUAGAGUGCGGAGGGAGAUCGGAAUCCUGGUGUAGCGGUGAAAUGCGCAGAUAUCAGGAGGAACGACCGUGGCGAAGGCGGAUCUCUGGGCCGUAACUGACGCUGAGGAGCGAAAGCAUGGGGAGCAAACAGGG
RNAcentral lists this ribosomal RNA (253 nucleotides) under uncultured bacterium. Its description in RNAcentral is "partial 16S ribosomal RNA". It matches the Rfam family "Bacterial small subunit ribosomal RNA", at positions 524 to 777 of the family's 1533-position model. The record is from RNAcentral.